GCGAGCAGAGACUGAAGAGAGGUAACUAACUAAGUAGUAGACAUAGAAUAGUUUGAAUGGUUAAAUAUGUUACAAGCUAGUUGGGGAAUGAGACAAAACUUAUGGGCUAGUCAUUCAAUGAUAACUAAUUAGUCUCAGUGUCAUUAUUGAUGAGAAUUAAGGGGCCAGAAGGAAAAAUUAAUUAUUAUUUUUUACACUGAGGACUUAAUCUCCUUCCCACAAACACUCAAGGUUGACCUCUGGCCCCCAUACACAGGCACUUGGAUAUGACCUGCAAGUAUACAGCAUAUGUGCCCACAUGAACACAUACAUUAAAAACCACAGCUCUUUACUGGAAAAGAGCACAGGAUACAUUGUUAUUUGAAGAAGCAGGUAACAAGUUAGCAGGUAUGCAAAGGGCAUGCCUAAAAUAUUAGGGGUGCUCUCUAGUUGGUGCCAUUCUAAGUAAAUUUCCCCCUUCUCUUUCUUCCCUAUAGAAUUGGCUGAAGCAAGUCUCCAUAUUUUGAAGCUCAGGCCCCUUGUGUUGCAACAGGAGUGUCGUUGGUCAUAUCGGGCAUCCUCCUCCAGAGAACUGAAGAACACCCCUCCGGAGUCAGGAUGACCUGAGGGCUACACAAGGCUCAUUUUUCAUUCCCUGUGCCAUCUGGCUCCGGCAGCCACAAGACCUUUCUGGGCCUGAAUAACUUCAUCUGUGCAAUGAAGGUAAAAACAGUGUCUACCUAAGAGGACAUUGUGAGAAUCAGCAAUAAUAUCCAUGAAAUGCUCAGCACCUGCCACCCACAAGGUGCUCAGCCUGCGAGAGGGAAGCUUCCACGGGAGGCAAAGGGCAGAGGCCUCACGAAACACUUUUUCCUAGCACAUUCUUUCUCUGUGAUUUUGGUGGUCCUUUGUGCCUUCAAACAAUGUUCAGUCCUCUCAGACAGAAGACUCUGUGUUCUUCAUUCACUCUGUGUAAGUCAUGGGUGGCCAUUUAAUACAUCUUGGUCAUCAGCAUGGACAAAGAUAACGAUGACCAAUGCACUGCUGGUCAGGUUCUGUUGUGUCUUCCAGAACCUGAUAUUAGGGAACCUGCCUAGCCUGUGGUAACCCUUGAGAGGGGUGUAGUAUAAGGGAUGAGCUAGUCUGCUUUUUAGGCCACAAAAAUAUUUGGUUGAAACAAGGCUGCUGACACUUUAACCAGUCCCGGGAGGACACGAAGCCACUUCAUAGUACUGAAAUCUUGGGAAAGGCAUUUACCUGUUCAGUCAGCCAUCCCUUCCCCUAUAGAAUGCAGGUGUAAUCGUCUCAACCCAUGGGAUUGGAAAAGGAAGUGGCUGCGUGUUUGUAGUGUCUCGUGUUGUGCCUGAUAACUGGUAGGGACAUGCAAAGUGACAGAAUCUUCUCAUUACGCCAUUUCAGCUUCUUUCCUCAUAGCUGAAUGAAACCAGCUACCAGUGCUGAGGGUAUCUGCUGGUGCCAGCCCCUUGCCUUUGUGCACCUGCAUAUUUGUGUGCAUAUGUAUAGAUGUACCUGCAGGUGGGUGGGUCAGAGGACCAACCUGGGGCAACAUUCCUCAGGUAACUUCGGCCUUUUUUUCUUUUGUGUCUUUUCUGUUUUCUUGGGUCUCUGGCUGGCCUGGAACUUAACAAGUUAGAGUUAAGCUGUGCCUCAAAGAACUAUCUCCCAAGUGCUGGGAUGGCAGGCUUCAUGCCCCACUGGCUGGUUGGUAUGUUUGUUGGUUGGUUGGUUGGUUGGUUGGUUGGUUGGUUGGUUGGUUGGUUUUUCACUGUGCUUUGAAAUCUAAACUCGGGUUCUCAUGCUUAUAAGACAAUCUCUUGACCAACUGAGCCAUCUCCCCAGCCCACCUUUGGGUCUUGACUCUUGCAUUUACUUCUACUACAGCCACAGAAACUAGAGAUUUACACAAAUAAGAGACACAAGUGUCGGGAUGGGUAAGAGUCCCCAUGCACACACUACUAAUCUCCUUCUGUCCUUUGCAGAAGUGAAACAUGGUCACAUCCACAUGGCAGUAGGCUCUGUCUCCACCACCAUGGCCAAGCGCCACCUCUGAGGAGCUAGGAGCACCCAAAGGACCCAGGACCACAGACUAUGACCAUGUCUGUGCUGGAGUGAGACCACUAGAAGAUAAUAACCACGUUCUUCUCAUGUAAAACCAGGGUUCUGCUCGAGCAACCCUUCUAGCAGCCCUACUUAGGAGGCAGAAGCAAGAUGCUCUUAAGUUUGAAGUAGGCCCUGGAUACAAGUUAAACCUUUUCUGAAAAUUAAUAAACAAAUAUUAAAGAAGCAUUUUUCAACAAAGAAUCACUAUAGUAGAACCAGUGUUUUACCCUCUUUGUCUCAAAAAUGUAAAAGGUCUCUCAUGCAGGAGAGGGAGAAGUUUCUGUGGCUCGGUUGCCCUGGUACCCUCUGUACUUCCCUGCUUAGAAGAAGCACAUGGCCACAUGGCCGAGGAAAGUGUUGUCUGUGUUUCCUGAGUAAGCAGGGCAGCUCAUGAUUCAGACAGAAAUUAAGCAGCCUACUGAGGGAGUUUGGCCAAAGAGCCAAAUACAUUUGAGAAUCAAGAGCAUCAAGUGGCUCUCUUCUGCAGGGCUCAGCAGGAUGUACUAUAGCACCGUCCCAAUUUGAAAAUGGAGAGAAAGGACAGUGAAUUCCCAGGCAGUAGCAAAAGCACCCUAUUGCAUGGAUUUCCUCAAGGCUGAUGGUGAACACAAGUCUCUUAAAGACCGUCUUCACCACACCCGGAGUAAAGUCCUGCCCAUGAGUAGUGAGCGAUGAACAUCUAUAUUUUCACAUCAGUGAGGGUAUACGUGCCGCUGCUCUGUCCAGCCUUACAGUGGAUGGACAGUCAAGCAGCAGCAACACUCCCUUGCUGAACCUUUCUAGAAGGUUCAGUCCUUCUCAACUUCAGGACCAAGACAGCGAUGGGCCAGAGAAAGACAAGGAAUGUCUGAGCAGGGGCAGCAGUGGCUGUGAAGUAAAGGUGAGUGAGCAGGGAGCUCACAAUCACGUGUCCCCAGUCACUUCAGUCUCCCCACAGCCAGCACACACAGCUGCUUCUCCAUCUCCGCCUAGCAGCACUGCACCAUGCAUGAAUGGCCUGCUUUUCCUGCUCCUUCCACCCAGCCUCAUCUUCAUAAGCAGCACCUCCAUUAUGAUGCUUUCUCAAGGGAAAAAAAAAAAAGCUAAAGCAGAAUACAGUCUGUAAACACAGCCCUCUGAGGACAUGAGCAAUAUGGCUGUUGCUACCCUGCCUAUUCCUAACCAAGGUAGGAGACCACUCCCAAACCGCUUUCCUCCUAGUUGGGGUCCUCUUCCUUCUCCUUGCCAAAAAAUUAGAAUGUUACACAUAUAACCAGAAGCAGAGGCACAUGCUUGUGGUCCUAGCAUUCAAGAGGCUGAGGCAGGAAGACUGCUGUAAAUUCAAGGCCCAGCCUUAAGUUGCACGGCGAGCUCCAGGCCAGAAUGGGUUGUGGGAAGAUAGCCUGCCUCUUUAAAUGACAAAAAGGAAAAAAAAAAGAGAAUUAAAUCCUUAUAUAAGCAGAUAGCCUGCCUUCCAUGAAGAUAUCUAUGAAUUAUAGCAGUCGCUCUGCAGUACACACAGACCACUGGAAACUAGCUUCACAAAUUCCUCAGUGGCCAAAACAUGGUCCACAGAUAGGAGUAUUUGGAAGGAAAAGAACCUCAAGGUCUUUAAAUUCAGUAUCUGUUUUGUAUUCAACAUCUAUCUGUUGCAAGGGCUCUUUCUAAAAUGACUUUCACAAAGCAGGGCCUUCCCUUCACUCAGUCUCACUCCAAUUCAUAGCUCUCAGGUUUUAAAAUUCCCACCAGAGCUGGGUAUGAUGGCUCAGACUUCCAUAGCUCAGGGGCUAAAGCACAAAGAAUUCCUUGCAUUUGAAGUUAGCCUGGGCUACAUAGUAAAUUCCAAGCCAGCCUGGGCUACAAUGUAGGGUUGGUUUUGUUUUGAGGUGGUUGUUGUUGUCUGUUGCUGUUGUUGUCUCAAAAUUU
This 4005-nucleotide long non-coding RNA is filed under the name Mus musculus (house mouse). Its description in RNAcentral is "long non-coding RNA chr17:4911170-4915175". The record is from RNAcentral. Lineage: Eukaryota; Metazoa; Chordata; Mammalia; Rodentia; Muridae.